UCCUUUUUAUCACGCAUAGAAUGAAUAAAUAAAGGGAACUGGCCUGGGACUUAGUACUUAGAAGUGAAAGCCCAAGGUAGUUUCCUUCCUUUCUUCCUUCUUCUUUCCUCUUCUCCUUUCAUUUUCUUUCUCUUGUUUCAGUUUCAGGUAAGUUUAGAUUUUGUCCCACGAGGUUCAAUAAUCAUAGGGCCCAGAGGACUAAAAAAAAUUGUAGUAGUUGGUAUGCACCAGAUUCUCUUCAGAAAAUGCAGUGCCCAGAAAUAGUUGCCCUGACUGGCGAACUUCUACUUCCCUUUAACAUUUUUUUUUGGCUUGUUUUUUGCAUCAGGCAAGGAGAACUAUAGUACCUCUUGGGUUUCCCCCUCUGACACCUUACUGCUGGACCCUGACGUGGCUAUUCCCUCCCUUCUUCAUGACUUCUGAACGCUUGAAAAUGUUUAUAAAAUGUCAUGCUUCCUGUAGGGUUUUCUCCCCCUUGUAUUUAGCUCUGGUUUUCUAUAAGCUCCUUGAGGACAGGGAAUGGACAUCUGCGUAUCCCCGCCUUUAUGUGUUAGAGAAGUGAAAACUGAAGCCUGAUUGGAGAUGAACUUCCUCUGAGCAAGGACCCUGUAUUCUACUUCUUUGCCUUCAUCGUAGCACCUAUGAAGGACAAAGGAAGGAAAGAGGAGUGGAGGGAAGGAGAAAGAAGGUAGGGCAAGGGGGAGGAAGGGAGAAGGUGGGAAAUCAGCAUUUAAGCAUGAAAAGUACCAGCUUUUAAGAAAAUGCUACCUCACUUAAUCUUGACAGUGCACGUGUGAGACAAAUUGCAGAGGAUAAGACUGGAGCCCAGGAAGGUACAGUCACUUGUCCGAGCUCCCACAGCGCAUGCAAAGCAGAAUGAGAAACAGAAACAAGAUCUGUGAAGCUGAGCUCCAAGCUGGAAGAGACUGGGGCCUGACGUGAUUUGAGGUUGCCUGCCCCCUCUUAGAAGGCUGAUUGGAGAGCAUUCUGCACCCAGCAACACUCCCUACUCCCUGGAGAGCACAGAGGGAGCUGAUGUCCCACAAGGCACUGCAUUCUUUCACCCAGCAAAUAUUUAUGGAGCAUCCACCCAUUUCCAGGCACCAUCUUGGAAGAGAUUCAGCCGCAACCAAGGCAGAGUCUCUUUUCUGAAAGGAGCUUACAUCGUAGUUGGAAACACAGACAAUGAGCAAGUAAACAAAUAUUUAAUGUAUUUUCAGGUUAUUUAAUUACAUCCUCAAAACAACCUCAUGGCAGGUAUUAUAAGCCCAUUUUACACACACAGAAACACUGAAGUGUGGAUAAUGAAGUUACCUGCCCAAAGUCACAUGAGAAAUUUGAAUGCGCCCCAGCCUGUGGUCUUUGUAAGAUCCAAUGAAGCUUUUUAUUGUUAGCCCAGAGGCAGUAGACUGUGAAGCUAUGAAGCUGAAGCUCCAGGGCUACUCACUUGCAUGGACACUUUUUCAAGUCACUUUGGACCUAACUUUUUUUUUUUUGGUACGCGGGCCUCUCACUGUUGUGGCCUC
Non-coding RNA from Delphinapterus leucas (beluga whale), 1526 nucleotides. NCBI's taxonomy places the organism in Eukaryota, Metazoa, Chordata, Mammalia, Artiodactyla, Monodontidae. The record is from RefSeq and is a predicted model, not a curated record.